GUCGUCAGCUCGUGUCGUGAGAUGUUGGGUUAAGUCCCGCAACGAGCGCAACCCUUGUCUUUAAUUGCCAGCAUUCAGUUGGGCACUUUAAAGAGACUGCCGGUGUUAAGCCGGAGGAAGGUGGGGAUGACGUCAAGUCCUCAUGGCCUUUAUGCCCAGGGCUACACACGUGCUACAAUGGGUGGUACAAAGGGUCGCAAUACCGCGAGGUGGAGCUAAUCCCAAAAAAGCCGGUCUCAGUUCGGAUUGGAGUCUGCAACUCGACUCCAUGAAGUCGGAAUCGCUAGUAAUCGCGUAUCAGCGUGACGCGGUGAAUACGUUCCCGGGCCUU
This 331-nucleotide ribosomal RNA is filed under the name uncultured Geothermobacter sp. RNAcentral describes it as "bacterial SSU rRNA". It matches the Rfam family "Bacterial small subunit ribosomal RNA", at positions 1051 to 1382 of the family's 1533-position model. The record is from RNAcentral. Lineage: Bacteria; Pseudomonadati; Thermodesulfobacteriota; Desulfuromonadia; Desulfuromonadales; Geothermobacteraceae.